Non-coding RNA from Coffea arabica (coffee), 210 nucleotides. The record is from RefSeq and is a predicted model, not a curated record. Lineage: Eukaryota; Viridiplantae; Streptophyta; Magnoliopsida; Gentianales; Rubiaceae.
GGAGCCGACAUCGGUUUCAUUUGAGGAAUACAUGUUUAUGGGAUGCCGUUCAUCUACUGACUCUGUUUCGACGCAUUCAAUGAGUCAGACAGUGAAUGGCCCUCCAAAUGCUGUUGCUCCCGAUAUCGAUGAAAGUCAAACGGUCCACCGUUUGGCUAAUCAGGGGCCUCCUGCAAGUGUCCCUACAGAAUGGAUGCAUCCCAGAUUUUC